GACGAACGCUGGCGGCGUGCUUAACACAUGCAAGUCGAACGGAAAGGCCCUGCUUUUGUGGGGUGCUCGAGUGGCGAACGGGUGAGUAACACGUGAGUAACCUGCCCUUGACUUUGGGAUAACUUCAGGAAACUGGGGCUAAUACCGGAUAGGAGCUCCUGCUGCAUGGUGGGGGGUGGAAAGUUUCGGCGGUUGGGGAUGGACGCGCGGCUAAUCAGCUUGUUGGUGGGGUAGUGGCUUACCAAGGCUUUGACGGGUAGCCGGCCUGAGAGGGUGACCGGCCACAUUGGGACUGAGGUACGGCCCAGAGUCGUACGGGAGGCAGCAGUGGGGAAUAUUGCACAAUGGGCGGAAGCCUGAUGCAGCAACGCCGCGUGCGGGAUGACGGCCUUCGGGUUGUAAACCGCUUUCGCCUGUGACGAAGCGUGAGUGACGGUAAUGGGUAAAGAAGCACCGGCUAACUACGUG
This 468-nucleotide ribosomal RNA is filed under the name uncultured bacterium. Its description in RNAcentral is "partial 16S ribosomal RNA". It matches the Rfam family "Bacterial small subunit ribosomal RNA", at positions 28 to 507 of the family's 1533-position model. The record is from RNAcentral.